GAUGAACGCUGGCGGCGUGCUUAACACAUGCAAGUCGAACGGAAAGGCUCCUGCUUGCAGGGGUACUCGAGUGGCGAACGGGUGAGUAACACGUGGGUGAUCUGCCCAGCACUUCGGGAUAAGCCUGGGAAACUGGGUCUAAUACCGGAUAGGACGAUGGUUUGGAUGCCAUUGUGGAAAGUUUUUUCGGUGUGGGAUGAGCUCGCGGCCUAUCAGCUUGUUGGUGGGGUAAUGGCCUACCAAGGCGUCGACGGGUAGCCGGCCUGAGAGGGUGUACGGCCACAUUGGGACUGAGAUACGGCCCAGACUCCUACGGGAGGCAGCAGUGGGGAAUAUUACACAAUGGGCGCAAGCCUGAUGCAGCGACGCCGCGUGGGGGAUGACGGCCUUCGGGUUGUAAACUCCUUUCGCUAGGGACGAAGCGCAAGUGACGGUACCUGGAGAAGAAGCACCGGCUAACUACGUG
This 466-nucleotide ribosomal RNA is filed under the name uncultured bacterium. RNAcentral's name for it is "partial 16S ribosomal RNA". It matches the Rfam family "Bacterial small subunit ribosomal RNA", at positions 28 to 507 of the family's 1533-position model. The record is from RNAcentral.